RNAcentral lists this ribosomal RNA (1218 nucleotides) under uncultured archaeon. Its description in RNAcentral is "bacterial SSU rRNA". It matches the Rfam family "Archaeal small subunit ribosomal RNA", at positions 17 to 1211 of the family's 1478-position model. The record is from RNAcentral.
CCGGACCCCACUGCUAUCGGGGUGGGACUUAGGCAUGCAAGUUUGUGUCUUCAAGUUCCGGUGAAGACACGGCGGACCGCUCAGUAACACGUAGUUAACCUGCCCUCGGGAUGGAGAUAACCCCGGGAAACUGGGGGUAAUAUCUAAUAAGUGAGAAGGCCUGGAAUGGUUUCUCACAUAAAUGAUCUGGAACCAUACAUCCAGCACCGCCCGAGGAUGGGACUGCGGCCGAUCAGGUAGUUGGUGAGGUAAUGGCCCACCAAGCCUAUAACCGGUACGGGCCGUGAGAGCGGAAGCCCGGAGAUGGGCACUGAGAUAAGGGCCCAGGCCCUACGGGGCGCAGCAGCUACGAAACCUCCGCAAUGCGCGCAAGCGUGACGGGGCUACCCCGAGUGCCAUCCGCUGAGGGUGGCUUUUCUUUGGUGUAAUGAGCCGAAGGAAUAAGAGGAGGGCAAGCCUGGUGUCAGCCGCCGCGGUAAUACCAGCUCCUCAAGUGGUGGGGAUGUUUAUUUGGCCUAAAGCGUCCGUAGCCUGCUCGGUAAGUCCUCCGUUAAAUCCACCGAUCUAAUCGUUGGGCUGCGGGGGAUACUGCAGAGCUUGGGGGCGGAAGAAGUCGACGGUACUCUUGGGGUAGGGGUGAAAUCCAGUAAUCCCAAGAGGACCACCAGUGGCGAAGGCGGUCGACUAGGACGCGCCCGACGGUGAGGGACGAAAGCUGGGGGAGCGAUUCGGAUUAGAUACCCGAGUAGUCCCAGCUGUAAACGAUGCAGGCUAGGUGUUAGCACGACUACGAGUCAUGCUAGUGCCGCAAGGAAGCCGUUAAGCCUGCCGCCUGGGAAGUACGGUCGCAAGACUGAAACUUAAAGGAAUUGGCGGGGGAGCACCACAAGGGGUGAAGCUUGCGGUUCAAUUGGAGUCAACGCCGGAAACCUUACCGGGGGGAGACAGCAGAGUGGAGGCCAGAUUGAAGGUCUUGCUAGACAAGCUGAGAGGAGGCGCAUGGCCGUCGCCAGUUCGUGCCGUGAGGUGUCCUGUUAAGUCAGGCAACGAUCGAGACCCACGCUCCUUGUUGCCAGUGGCACUCCAAACGGAGGCCAGGCACACUAGGAGGACCGCCGCCGAUAAGGCGGAGGAAGGAGUGGGCCACGGCAGGUCAGUAUGCCCCGAAUUCCCCGGGCUACACGCGAGCUGCACGGUAGGGACAGUGGGUUCCACCUC